RNAcentral lists this transfer RNA (77 nucleotides) under Candidatus Sericytochromatia bacterium. RNAcentral's name for it is "tRNA-Pro". It matches the Rfam family "tRNA". Rfam says of the family: Transfer RNA (tRNA) molecules are approximately 80 nucleotides in length. Their secondary structure includes four short double-helical elements and three loops (D, anti-codon, and T loops). Lineage: Bacteria; Bacillati; Candidatus Sericytochromatia. The record is from RNAcentral.
CGGGACGUAGCGCAGCUCGGUAGCGCGCCUGCUUUGGGAGCAGGAUAUCGCAGGUUCAAAUCCUGUCGUCCCGACCA